This 429-nucleotide ribosomal RNA is filed under the name Bacteroidota bacterium. RNAcentral describes it as "Bacteroidetes bacterium partial 16S ribosomal RNA". It matches the Rfam family "Bacterial small subunit ribosomal RNA", at positions 355 to 776 of the family's 1533-position model. Lineage: Bacteria; Pseudomonadati; Bacteroidota. The record is from RNAcentral.
UAGGGAAUCUUCCGCAAUGGACGCAAGUCUGACGGAGCAACGCCGCGUGAGUGAAGAAGGAUUUCGGUUCGUAAAACUCUGUUGUUAGAGAAGAACAGCGCAUAGAGUAACUGUUAUGCGUGUGACGGUAUCUAACCAGAAAGCCACGGCUAACUACGUGCAAGCAGCCGCGGUAAUACGUAGGUGGCAAGCGUUGUCCGGAUUUAUUGGGCGUAAAGCGAGCGCAGGCGGUCAAUUAAGUCUGAUGUGAAAGCCCCCGGCUCAACCGGGGAGGGUCAUUGGAAACUGGUUGACUUGAGUGCAGAAGAGGAGAGUAGAAUUCCAUGUGUAGCGGUGAAAUGCGUAGAUAUAUGGGGGAACACCAGUGGCGAAGGCGACUCUCUGGUCUGUAACUGACGCUGAGGCUCGAAAGCGUGGGGAGCGAACAGG